CCUAACUCUCCUCUCACUCCAUUAAAGUCAGUGGGGUUAUUGGUGUAAAACCCAUGUGAAAGGAGCAUGAAACCCAAUGGCACUGAAUAUACAAGAGGUCCUGAUGUGGGCUUGAUGCCCUGUUGAGCAUGCUCUGCAAACACAGAGAUGGAACAGGAUCCCUGCCCUGCCGAGAUUACAAUCUAAGAGUUCAAUCCUACAGAUACUUACAUUAUAUGUGUUUUUCCUUACCAGACAUGGGCUCUUCUGUUUCAAAUGUGGGGCAGAGGAUGUAACCCCGGAGAUUUGGCUUGGAUAACAAGACUGCAUUCUACAUCCAGUCCCUCUGCAUUACUGUAAACUGUAAACCAAGCUAUCAGGACCUCAGGAGAGAAAUAGAAACCAUGCAUUUAAAUUCUUCAGGAAGUGAUUGGUCUGGCUUGUAGCAGCUCCCUAUGCGGCGUCAUCUUGUGAUUAAGAAUCUAAGCUUCCUUUUAUAAAUCAUCAAGUGUUUCACUCUUAUGAUUGAAAAUGUAACCGUUAUAAU
Long non-coding RNA from Mauremys reevesii (Reeves's turtle), 526 nucleotides. RefSeq lists it as uncharacterized. NCBI's taxonomy places the organism in Eukaryota, Metazoa, Chordata, Testudines, Geoemydidae. The record is from RefSeq and is a predicted model, not a curated record. The transcript has 4 exons.